RNAcentral lists this ribosomal RNA (253 nucleotides) under uncultured bacterium. Its description in RNAcentral is "partial 16S ribosomal RNA". It matches the Rfam family "Bacterial small subunit ribosomal RNA", at positions 524 to 776 of the family's 1533-position model. The record is from RNAcentral.
UACGUAGGUGGCAAGCGUUGUCCGGAAUUAUUGGGCGUAAAGCGCGCGCAGGCGGCCUCUUAAGUCUGAUGUGAAAGCCCCCGGCUCAACCGGGGAGGGCCAUUGGAAACUGGUAGGCUUGAGUAUAGGAGAGAAGAGUGGAAUUCCACGUGUAGCGGUGAAAUGCGUAGAGAUGUGGAGGAACACCAGUGGCGAAGGCGACUCUUUGGCCUAUAACUGACGCUGAGGCGCGAAAGCGUGGGGAGCAAACAGG